AUACCUUUCUCGGCCUUUUGACUAAGAUCAAGUGUAGUAUCUGUUUUUAUCAAUUUAAUAUCUGAUAUUUGGGUCAUGUGCCUAACAAUAUUAAAUUUAUUUUUUGUGGGGAGGUUCCAUCACAAUGGCUUGCCAUUGGGGCCCUUGUGUGUUGCCUAGGCGUUGCAUCAUUGCCUAGGCCUGGUGCACCCCAA
This is a non-coding RNA of Triticum aestivum (bread wheat), 194 nucleotides long. The record is from Rfam. Lineage: Eukaryota; Viridiplantae; Streptophyta; Magnoliopsida; Poales; Poaceae.